AGCUACAUCCGUCACCUGACACGGCCCUACCAGGAACAGCCGCGCUCCCGCGGAUUCUGGUGCUGCUCGCGUCCCCGCUCCCCUAUUCCCCUUAUUUUAUUCCUGGCUCCCCUCGUCGAAAGUCUUCCAUUCUUCAAACUAGAUUAUUUAAAAAUGAAAAAGGAAGAAAGGAAAGCGAGGUCAUCUCAUUGCUCUAUCCGCCAAUCAGGAGGCUGAAUGUCAGUUUUGAACUAAAAGCCGCUCCGCUCCUCUUCUAGAUUUGGAAAACAAGCGAAAUUAAACUAAACCGCUGCACGCCUCUGACGCGACAUCUGGACACGGCGCGGCGCUGGCGCUGCCGGAGCUGUCGACCCGGCCUGGCGCCGGACUAGUGUCCCUUUUGAUGAGAAGAAUAAGCCUCAUUCUGAUUCAACAGCAGAGAUCAAAGAAAAGACUUCUGUUUUCUGGCCACCAGAUAUAUGUUAUCUGUGCUUAAAGAAUUGAAAAACACACAUCAAAGGAGAAUUUUCUUGGAAAGAGAGGGUUCAAGCAUCACUGUUAGGUGUGCUGGAAUCCUUUCCCGAGUCAGUACUGCUUUCUAGAAGAAAACCGGGGAGAUCUAUUUGGAAUGUAUCUAACUCCAAAGAAACCAUCAGAGGUAACAGUAGAGACGGGGUUUCACCAUGUUGGCCAGACUGGUCUUGAACUCUCGACCUCGUGAUUCGCCCGCCUCGGCCUCCCAAAGUGCUGGGAUUACAGGUGUGAGACACCACACCCGGCGGAUAGAGAGAAUUUUGACAGAUUGGCUUCUCUCACAUGGCAAGAAACAUUGCUGCUAGCACUUCCCGAGUUCUACGUUCUACAACAUCCACCACUGCUAUGUCUCACAGUCCAGACUUGGAGUACAAGUAAUAAGAAGAAUAAAACUUAAUCCCUUAAGUAGAUUCACCAUAAGUUAGCUCAGAGCAAUUCCAGUGCAAGUAUGGUCUGUGAUCCAGUAGUAUCUUACAGACAGCAAGUUGAACAUUGUGGGAUGCAUGAGCUAUUGAGGCCUUUGCAGCUUUCUGCUACAUGGAGGCUAGGGCCAGAGUCAAGAUUUAUGCUUUGCAGCACACUGGUCAGCUGUUUUUGCAAAUCAGAUUAAAUGAUUUUUAAAUGAGGCUGAGAGCAUGGGAGAUACUAAUGUGUGUUUCCUUGUGAGCUACUGCAUAAGUUAGGAAAUUGAAAUACAGAAAGAUGAAAAGUGAUUUGCCCAAGCAUAUAGAUCAAAGCUGUGGCAGAACCAGGACUGGAACCUAUAUCUCUCUACUAAUGGUUUUUUUAAAAAAAUAACCUUGUUUCAAAAAUAUUAAAAAGUCACAAGAAAGGUAAACAUGUGGAUAAACAAAAUGAAGAAAAUAAAAAUUAUCCAGUAAUAACAUAUUGGCAUAUGUCUUUCUGGUAUAUUUUCCUGUGUUGUCAUCAUUAUCAUCUCCAUCAUCAUUAUAUCCAUCAUUAUCAUCAUCAUCAUCAUCAUCAUCAUCAUUAUCAUCACCAUAGUGAACAUGUAAUGCUUACCUAGUGCCAGAUGCUGUCUAGGCAUUUUACAUGUGUUACUGGUAACUCAUGUAAUCCUCAUAACAACCUUAUAAGGUGGUUGCUAUUAUCCCCAUGUUACAUAUGAAGAGACAGAAGCAUAAAGAAGUUGCACCGCUGGUAAUUGGCUGGGAUUUGAACUUAAGCAGUCUAACCUUAGAGUAAUGAUUUUAACAACUAUGCUAUAUACAUACAAAUUUACAAAAUAAAACUGGGCUCAGACAAUAAAAA
This 1785-nucleotide long non-coding RNA is filed under the name Homo sapiens (human). RNAcentral describes it as "non-protein coding CDKN2B-AS1:67". The stretch from base 379 to 522 matches the Rfam family "CDKN2B antisense RNA 1 convserved region 3". Lineage: Eukaryota; Metazoa; Chordata; Mammalia; Primates; Hominidae. The record is from RNAcentral.